GGUCCAGUGGUGUAGUGGUUAUCACGUUCGCCUCACACGCGAAAGGUCCCCGGUUCGAACCCGAGCUGGACCA
Molecule: transfer RNA, 73 nt
Filed under: Schistosoma curassoni
Lineage: Eukaryota; Metazoa; Platyhelminthes; Trematoda; Strigeidida; Schistosomatidae
Rfam family: tRNA
About the family: Transfer RNA (tRNA) molecules are approximately 80 nucleotides in length. Their secondary structure includes four short double-helical elements and three loops (D, anti-codon, and T loops).
Source: Rfam by way of RNAcentral